AUCCAACUGACGAGUCCUAAAUAGGACGAAACGCGCGUCCUGGAU
Schistosoma margrebowiei is the source of this 45-nucleotide non-coding RNA. The record is from Rfam. Lineage: Eukaryota; Metazoa; Platyhelminthes; Trematoda; Strigeidida; Schistosomatidae.